CUCCUUUCAGGAUGGCAUCUGGAGAGUUUCCAGUACUCUACCAGUUACGACUACGGGAGGGAGAGUCGAGCAGAGGCAUACCCAUUCCAUUCCUAGCUUAGCCAGUGGCUAGCCAGCGGAAGGCAAUCUGCUUCAAAU
Small nucleolar RNA from Tachyglossus aculeatus (Australian echidna), 138 nucleotides. Lineage: Eukaryota; Metazoa; Chordata; Mammalia; Monotremata; Tachyglossidae. The record is from RefSeq and is a predicted model, not a curated record.